GGGCCCGUGAUCCAGCCAGGACAGGAUGCCCGGCUUCGGACCGGGUAGUCGUGGGUUCAAAUCCCACCGGGCCCGCCA
Molecule: transfer RNA, 78 nt
Filed under: Hadesarchaea archaeon
Lineage: Archaea; Methanobacteriati; Hadarchaeota (SeqCode); Hadarchaeia (SeqCode)
Also listed under: 1 other name
Description: tRNA-Arg
Rfam family: tRNA
About the family: Transfer RNA (tRNA) molecules are approximately 80 nucleotides in length. Their secondary structure includes four short double-helical elements and three loops (D, anti-codon, and T loops).
Source: RNAcentral